UAAGUCUGCUGUUAAAUCCUGUAGCUCAACCUGAUAAGGGCAGUGGAAACUGUCAAACUAGAGUGUGGUAGGGGCAGAAGGAAUUCCCGGUGUAGCGGUGAAAUGCGUAGAUAUCAGGAAGAACACCGGUGGCGAAGGCGCUCUCCUGGGCCAUAACUGACACUGAGGGACGAAAGCUAGGGGAGCGAACGGGAUUAGAUACCCCAGUAGUCCUAGCCGUAAACGAUG
Molecule: ribosomal RNA, 228 nt
Filed under: uncultured Aphanizomenon sp.
Lineage: Bacteria; Bacillati; Cyanobacteriota; Cyanophyceae; Nostocales; Aphanizomenonaceae
Description: partial 16S ribosomal RNA
Rfam family: Bacterial small subunit ribosomal RNA
Source: RNAcentral